GGAGAAAUGCCAGAGUGGUUGAAUGGGGCAGUCUCGAAAACUGUUAUAUACUUCCUGUAUAUCGUGGGUUCGAAUCCCACUUUCUCCG
This 88-nucleotide transfer RNA is filed under the name Alphaproteobacteria bacterium. RNAcentral describes it as "tRNA-Ser". It matches the Rfam family "tRNA". Rfam says of the family: Transfer RNA (tRNA) molecules are approximately 80 nucleotides in length. Their secondary structure includes four short double-helical elements and three loops (D, anti-codon, and T loops). The record is from RNAcentral. Lineage: Bacteria; Pseudomonadati; Pseudomonadota; Alphaproteobacteria.